RNAcentral lists this ribosomal RNA (774 nucleotides) under uncultured Neocallimastigales. RNAcentral's name for it is "partial large subunit ribosomal RNA". It matches the Rfam family "Eukaryotic large subunit ribosomal RNA", at positions 26 to 643 of the family's 3401-position model. The record is from RNAcentral. Lineage: Eukaryota; Fungi; Neocallimastigomycota; Neocallimastigomycetes; Neocallimastigales.
CGCAUCUGUGCAUGCAGCAUAUCAAUAAGCGGAGGAAAAGAAACUAACAAGGAUUCCCUUAGUAACGGCGAGUGAAGCGGGAAGAGCUCAAAUUUGAAAUCUUCAAGGUUUUACCUUGACGAAUUGUAGUUUAAAGAAGUGUUUUCUGUUGAAGUUUUGGUAAAAGUUCUUUGGAAUAGGACAUCAUAGAGGGUGAGAAUCCCGUAUUUGACCAUUAUUUUCAGCUGUGUGAUACACUUUCAAAGAGUCGGAUUGUUUGGGAAUGCAGUCCAAAAUGGGUGGUAAAUUUCAUCUAAAGCUAAAUAUUGGCGAGAGACCGAUAGCGAACAAGUACCGUGAGGGAAAGAUGAAAAGAACUUUGAAAAGAGAGUUAAACAGUACGUGAAAUUGUCAAAAGGGAAGCGUCUGACACCAGUGUUGUUUUCUCGAAAAUCAAUUAAAAAGAGUUUGAUUUUGUUGUGUAUUGACCUUAACAGCUUGCAUUUCAAUUUUCUUGCUUUUUUUAAUGCACUUUUCGUUUAACAAGUCAACAUCAGUUUCUUUUGUUGUAAAAAGGUCAUUGGAAGGUGGCUUUCUUUUCGGAGAAAGUGUUUAUAGCCUUUGACUCCUGCAAUCGGAGAGACUGAGGUCUGCAGCGUAGAUCCUUCGGGGUUAGAUACAUUUGUGCUAAGUUAUAGCUUUUUAUAGACAACUUGUUGACUAUGAUUAGUCUUGUAGCUUACUCGCUUAUGCUAUUUUACCUACGCUUAGGAUGUUGACACACGCGCGUGCUCG